This 677-nucleotide ribosomal RNA is filed under the name Escherichia coli. RNAcentral's name for it is "partial 23S ribosomal RNA". It matches the Rfam family "Bacterial large subunit ribosomal RNA", at positions 2244 to 2915 of the family's 2925-position model. Lineage: Bacteria; Pseudomonadati; Pseudomonadota; Gammaproteobacteria; Enterobacterales; Enterobacteriaceae. The record is from RNAcentral.
GUUGCGGACAGUGUCUGGUGGGUAGUUUGACUGGGGCGGUCUCCUCCUAAAGAGUAACGGAGGAGCACGAAGGUUGGCUAAUCCUGGUCGGACAUCAGGAGGUUAGUGCAAUGGCAUAAGCCAGCUUGACUGCGAGCGUGACGGCGCGAGCAGGUGCGAAAGCAGGUCAUAGUGAUCCGGUGGUUCUGAAUGGAAGGGCCAUCGCUCAACGGAUAAAAGGUACUCCGGGGAUAACAGGCUGAUACCGCCCAAGAGUUCAUAUCGACGGCGGUGUUUGGCACCUCGAUGUCGGCUCAUCACAUCCUGGGGCUGAAGUAGGUCCCAAGGGUAUGGCUGUUCGCCAUUUAAAGUGGUACGCGAGCUGGGUUUAGAACGUCGUGAGACAGUUCGGUCCCUAUCUGCCGUGGGCGCUGGAGAACUGAGGGGGGCUGCUCCUAGUACGAGAGGACCGGAGUGGACGCAUCACUGGUGUUCGGGUUGUCAUGCCAAUGGCACUGCCCGGUAGCUAAAUGCGGAAGAGAUAAGUGCUGAAAGCAUCUAAGCACGAAACUUGCCCCGAGAUGAGUUCUCCCUGACUCCUUGAGAGUCCUGAAGGAACGUUGAAGACGACGACGUUGAUAGGCCGGGUGUGUAAGCGCAGCGAUGCGUUGAGCUAACCGGUACUAAUGAACCGUGAG